Unclassified non-coding RNA from Cercocebus atys (sooty mangabey), 102 nucleotides. It matches the Rfam family "Y RNA". From Rfam's summary of the family: Y RNAs are components of the Ro ribonucleoprotein particle (Ro RNP), in association with Ro60 and La proteins. The Y RNAs and Ro60 and La proteins are well conserved, but the function of the Ro RNP is not known. Lineage: Eukaryota; Metazoa; Chordata; Mammalia; Primates; Cercopithecidae. The record is from Ensembl.
GACUGGUCCAAGCACAAUGAUGUUUGCAACUAAUUGAUCACAACCAGUUACAGAUUUCUUUGUUCCUUCUCCACCUCCACUGCGUCACAUGACUAACCUUAA